This 227-nucleotide long non-coding RNA is filed under the name Physcomitrium patens. Its description in RNAcentral is "long non-coding RNA (PPAT_LNC009296)". The record is from RNAcentral. Lineage: Eukaryota; Viridiplantae; Streptophyta; Bryopsida; Funariales; Funariaceae.
AUUGAUAAGUGCAAUUGAUUUUAUUUUUCUUAUGUUUAUUCCUUACUAAGAUAUUAAGAAGUGUGUAAAUUUUGAGAUGAUAUCAAUAGUUUGAUCAUUAGUUUUUGAGGUUCUAUUUUGUUAUAGAGUUUGAUAAGAAUUUAAGAUGUAAGAUUUGUUUAGGAUUUAAGAUUUUAUUAGGAUUUUAUUAGUACUUGAUUUAGAAUUUGAUUAAAAUUUAAUUAGUA